RNAcentral lists this small RNA (475 nucleotides) under Pongo abelii (Sumatran orangutan). RNAcentral's name for it is "retained intron". Lineage: Eukaryota; Metazoa; Chordata; Mammalia; Primates; Hominidae. The record is from RNAcentral.
GUGCUACCACUGGCUGGACCACAGGGUGGGCGUCCUGCAGGGCCAGUGCUGGGAGGACUUCGUGGGCCAGGAGCUGUACCGGUUCCUGGUGAUGGACUUCGUCCUCAUGUUGCUGGACACGCUUUUUGGGGAACUGGUGUGGAGGAUUAUCUCCGAGAAGAAGCUGAAGAGGAGGCGGAAGCCGGAGUUUGACAUUGCCCGGAACGUCCUGGAGCUGAUUUAUGGGCAGACUCUGACCUGGUGAGGGUCCUCUGCUCUCCUCCUGCUGUCUGGCCCCUCGGUCAGUGCCCCUUUCCCCCUGGGGGUCCUGCACCUGUCUCCCCCUGGGGCCACAGCCAGGCCCGGCCACGGACCCUGGAGUGAUGCAGGCCCUGACCCCGGGGACUCAGUUUUGGCCACUCUCACAUGCCCUGCCCGUGGUCUGGAACCAGCCUGGUCUCAGGGAGGGGAGGGCACUGGAGCAGACCCUGAACUG